This 459-nucleotide ribosomal RNA is filed under the name uncultured bacterium. RNAcentral's name for it is "bacterial SSU rRNA". It matches the Rfam family "Bacterial small subunit ribosomal RNA", at positions 56 to 523 of the family's 1533-position model. The record is from RNAcentral.
UGCAGUCGAGCGGUAGGUCCUUCGGGGGUAUUGAGCGUCGAAGGGUGAGUAAAGGAGCGACCUGGCCUGACUCUGGGAUAAGCUGGGAAACUGGGGAAAGACCGGAUAUGACCUCGUGCCGAUGGUGUGGGGUGGAAAGGUGUUUUUCCGGUCAGGGAUGGGCUCGCGGCCUAUCAGCUUGUUGGUGGGGUAACGGCCUACCAAGGCGAUGACGGGUAGCCGGCCUGAGAGGGCGACCGGCCACACUGGGACUGAGACACGGCCCAGACUCCUGCGGGAGGCAGCAGUGGGGAAUAUUGCGCAAUGGGCGGAAGCCUGACGCAGCGACGCCGCGUGGGGGAUGAAGGCCUUCGGGUUGUAAACCUCUUUUACCACUCACGAAGGCCCCUGGUUUUCUGGGGGUUGACGGUAGGUGGUGAAUAAGUUCCUUUCUAACUACGUGCCAGCAGCCGCCGGUAA